Molecule: ribosomal RNA, 468 nt
Filed under: uncultured bacterium
Lineage: Bacteria
Description: partial 16S ribosomal RNA
Rfam family: Bacterial small subunit ribosomal RNA
Source: RNAcentral
GACGAACGCUGGCGGCGUGCUUAACACAUGCAAGUCGAACGGAAAGGCCCUGCUUUUGCUGCGUGCUCGAGUGGCGAACGGGUGAGUAACACGUGAGUAACCCGCCCCUGACUUUGGGAUAACUUCUGGAAACUGCGGCUAUUACCGCAUAGGAGCUCCUGCUGCAUGGUGGGGGUUGGAAAGUUUCGGCGGUAGGGGCUCGUCUCGCGGGUUAUCAGCUGGUUGGUGGGGUAGUGGCUUACCAAGGUUUUGACGGAUAGCCGGCCUGAGAGGGUGGCCGGCGACAUUGGGACUAAGGUACGGCGCAGACUGGUACGGGCGGCAGCGGUGGGGAAUAUUGCGCAAUGGGGGGAAGCCUGUUGCAGCAGCGCCGGGUGCGGGAUACCCGCCUUCGGGGUAUAAACCGCUUUCGCCUGUGACGAAGAGUGCGUGACGGUAAUGAGUCAAGAAGCAACGGCUAACUACGUG